CAGAGGGGGCAAGCGUUAUUCGGAAUUAUUGGGCGUAAAGGGCGCGUAGGCGGCUUUUCAAGUGACGGGUGAAAUCCCUCGGCUUAACCGAGGAACUGCCUGUCAGACUGAAUAGCUUGAGACCGGGAGAGGUGAGUGGAAUUCCCAGUGUAGCGGUGAAAUGCGUAGAUAUUGGGAGGAACACCAGUGGCGAAGGCGCCUCACUGGACCGGUACUGACGCUGAGGCGCGAAAGCGUGGGGAGCAAACAGGAUUAGAUACCCUGGUAGUCCACGCCGUAAACGAUGAGUGCUUGGUGUAGCGGGUAUCGACCCCUGCUGUGCCGAAGUCAACACAUUAAGCACUCCGCCUGGGGAGUACGGUCGCAAGACUG
RNAcentral lists this ribosomal RNA (372 nucleotides) under uncultured organism. Its description in RNAcentral is "bacterial SSU rRNA". It matches the Rfam family "Bacterial small subunit ribosomal RNA", at positions 526 to 896 of the family's 1533-position model. The record is from RNAcentral.